RNAcentral lists this ribosomal RNA (346 nucleotides) under Cranaidae sp. n. MZSP 72917. RNAcentral's name for it is "partial large subunit ribosomal RNA". The stretch from base 213 to 346 matches the Rfam family "Bacterial large subunit ribosomal RNA", at positions 2473 to 2607 of the family's 2925-position model. Lineage: Eukaryota; Metazoa; Arthropoda; Arachnida; Opiliones; Cranaidae. The record is from RNAcentral.
UUUUUUAAUUGGAGACUGGAAUGAAAGAUAGAAUCUGAGAGGAAUGUUUUAUUAGAUAAAUUUGAAUUUUAAUUAUAAGUAAAAAUGCUUAUUUGAAUUUUUGGGACGAGAAGACCCUAGAAGCUUUAUAAAUUUAUAUUUGUUUUAUUGGGGUAAUAUUUGAAGAUAAUAAUUUUUGAAUUGGGAAAAAUUUUUAAUUUAGUUACUCUAGGGAUAACAGCGUAAUUUAAUUAGAGAGUUCUUAUUAAUAAUUAGGUUUGCGACCUCGAUGUUGAAUUAAAAUUAAUUUUUAAUGAAGGAGUUAAAUAAUUUAGUCUGUUCGACUAUUAAAAUUUUACGUGAUCUG